CUUCGCGGGUCCGCGUGAACAAAACCGUUUUGUUUUACUUUAAUUUCUUUUUUAUUUGGGAAAAAAAAUUUCUAAAAAAUAAUCGAAGAAGAAGUUCUUCCCAAUUCUUCACGAAAUCUAGGGAUUUGAGAAGGUGUGAUUCAUAGAUAUAGAGUGGAGUAAAAGGAAGGAAUAAAGGGUGGAAAAAAGGGGAGGAUCCAAUGGCUUUUUCUUGUUGAAUUCUUGGCUUCGGGCAGGAUUUUGGCUUGAAUUUCGGUCGGAAAGUGGAGAUUUUGAUCGAGGUUUUUGUUGUUUAGUUUCUCUUCGGUUUCUCCGAUUCAGUGUGGAAAGGAGGAAUCGAAGACGGUGAAUAGACUCAUAGAGGAUGUCAGGAUUCGUGGGAGUUUUAGUCUCCGAUCCCUGGCUUCAGAGUCAAUUCACUCAGGUUGAGCUACGGAGCCUGAAAUCUAGAUACCUCUCUACACGGAGAGAAACUGGCC
This is a long non-coding RNA of Dioscorea cayenensis subsp. rotundata (Guinea yam), 479 nucleotides long. RefSeq lists it as uncharacterized. The record is from RefSeq and is a predicted model, not a curated record. The transcript has 3 exons. Lineage: Eukaryota; Viridiplantae; Streptophyta; Magnoliopsida; Dioscoreales; Dioscoreaceae.